GAAAUAUUUGUUAAGUGAAAGCUGCUAACUUAAUCACUUUAAUGGUUAAAUUCCAUUUAUAUUUCU
RNAcentral lists this transfer RNA (66 nucleotides) under Pseudoglomeris planiuscula. Its description in RNAcentral is "tRNA-Ser". Lineage: Eukaryota; Metazoa; Arthropoda; Insecta; Blattodea; Blaberidae. The record is from RNAcentral.